Long non-coding RNA from Oncorhynchus masou masou (cherry salmon), 734 nucleotides. RefSeq lists it as uncharacterized. The record is from RefSeq and is a predicted model, not a curated record. The transcript has 2 exons. Lineage: Eukaryota; Metazoa; Chordata; Actinopteri; Salmoniformes; Salmonidae.
GGGAGUGUGGAGCUUCAGGUCCAGGGUUUCACCCACCCUCAAGGACUCCUCGGACGUGUGUUCUGGAGAGAAUUACAGAAGAAAUGAGACGCAGAAGUGGCAGAGAGGGAGGUGGUGUGAUGUUGGACACUCCUGGCCUGUGUUGUCCCCAGUCUCGGCCUUGUUUGGCGCCCUCUGUGUCUUUGGACUCUGUUUCCAGUCAGAUGAGCUUGCUGCAAAUCCUUGGCUUGCUGCCCUAGAUUUACAAAGGCUACGUUUAUAGAGGAAAGUUUGAACUUCUUUUUAAUCAAUGCAAAAAAACAAAGCAUUGUUUUAUACAUAUACUGUAUAUAUAAAACUAACACACAGUAGUUUAAUGUGAAUAAACCAUUUAUUAAUGCAUUUUCAAAUCACUAAGCAUAUCUUCAUGUAGAUUACUGAAAGAGACACCAACAAACUAGCAGGCUAAUUGUUCAUAUACAGUGCCUCCGGGAAAGUAUUCAGACCCUUUGACUUUUUCCACAUUUUGUUAGGUUACAGCCUUAUUCUAAAAUGUAUUAAAUUAAAAGAAAUCCCAAAUUGUAAGUCAAUAAUUGGAAUUAAAUAUCAUAAGAGUACCACUAGGUGGCAGUGUAGUAUAUUGUUGCUGUAUUGAUGCUGUGACUACAGCUUUUCAUUAGUGAAGACAUUCAGCGUCGUCCAAACUAACAUUUUGGAGUUAUAUGUACAUAGAAAGCACUCUUUUCCCAAAACAA